UUGCAUUGUGUGUGUGUGUGUGUGUGAAGGAAGUAGGGUGGGCUAGCCAGUCUACCCCGAGUGCUAACAAGCGAAAGCACGUGUGUCUGCCGGUUCUACGGCAAUGCCGAAACGAAAAUGCACGUUCACGGAGGAGUUGAAGAAAAAAUUCCCGUGCUUUCGCCAGGCUGCUCAAGAUGGUACAGUUUUGUUUUGUUUUUUGCCAUACCUGCCCACAAUGCAAAUGUGGAGCGCAUCUUUUCACUGAUGCAAGCGCAGUGGACGAAGGAGAGGAAUCGCAUGUCUGUGGAUUCACUGAAGGCGAUUUUGUGCACCCAGUACAAUUUCAGGAACAUGACCUGCAAAGAUUUUCAUACCUACUUAAUGGGUAAUCGUAAACUGUUGAAAGAGAUGCAGUCUUCUGACAAAUACACCCCGCAAGAGGAGGAC
Molecule: long non-coding RNA, 429 nt
Organism: Thalassophryne amazonica
Lineage: Eukaryota; Metazoa; Chordata; Actinopteri; Batrachoidiformes; Batrachoididae
Exons: 2
Source: RefSeq, a predicted model, not a curated record